RNAcentral lists this ribosomal RNA (553 nucleotides) under Lactiplantibacillus plantarum subsp. plantarum. RNAcentral's name for it is "partial 16S ribosomal RNA". The record is from RNAcentral. Lineage: Bacteria; Bacillati; Bacillota; Bacilli; Lactobacillales; Lactobacillaceae.
CGGUGGAGCAUGUGGUUUAAUUCGAAGCUACGCGAAGAACCUUACCAGGUCUUGACAUACUAUGCAAAUCUAAGAGAUUAGACGUUCCCUUCGGGGACAUGGAUACAGGUGGUGCAUGGUUGUSGUCAGCUCGUGUCGUGAGAUGUUGGGUUAAGUCCCGCAACGAGCGCAACCCUUAUUAUCAGUUGCCAGCAUUAAGUUGGGCACUYUGGUGAGACUGCCGGUGACAAACSGGAGGAAKGUGGGGAYGACGUCAAAUCAUCWUGCCCCUUAUGACCUGGGCUACACACGUGCUACAAUGGAUGGUACAACGAGUUGCGAACUCGCGAGAGUAAGCUAAUCWCUUAAAGCCAUUCUCAGUUCGGAUUGUAGGCUGCAACUCGCCUACAUGAARUCGGARUCGCUWGUAAUCGCGGAWCAGCAUGCSSCGGURAAUACKUUCCSSSSYCWWSWMCACACCGCCCGUCACACCAUGAGAGUUUGUAACACCCAAAGUCGGUGGGGUAACCUUUUAGGAACCAGCCGCCUAAGGUGGGACAGAUGAUUAGGGUGA